CGGCUAGUAGAGUAAUAGAAUGUGAUGGCAGAAAGGAAUCUUAAAAAUGAGCUAGUCUAAACUUCCUCCAUAUUCCAAUUUUACAGAUGAGGAAUCUGAGACCCAGAGAGAAGUAAUUUAGCCAAGACCAUACAGUAAGACAAUAUCAGAGUCAGAGCUAGAUCCCUGAUUUCCUGACUUCAGGUCAGUGUGUUUUUUACUGUGCUAAGCUGCCUCCAUGGUUAUAUUUUUUCUCUCAGUUGCCUUAAUUACCCUUUCUUUGUUUUGACAUUGUAUAUAUAUAACCCAAGAAAAAGAGAUAAAGUGCAGGCAUGUUAUUUUGAAAUUGAACAUUUGAAUUUUCUUUGGAUAACAUAGUGGAUGGGUAGAAGGGAGUGUUGGGAAAUAAUUCUCGAUGAAUAUUUCAUGAUUCUGCAUGGUUCAUGUCCUCUGAUCAUUCGCAGUCAAGUUAAGAAUGUUUGUAUCAGGAGAAAUUGCAGGAUAGUAAAGCUUAGAGACAUUUCCCUCCCUGGAAACAGUUGGAAGUAUUAAAGAUAAAGACCUCUUCUUCCUUUCCCCACAGACAUUUACUUACCCAGAGUUAAGAUAAGAUUUCUCUCUCUCCAGAAAGAGGGGAUCACCAGCAGCCCUAUAUAAGACCAAAGUUUCCUGAGUUUGGGCCUCCUUUCCUUCGAUGCAACCUGACCCUUACUGCGUUACCUACCCCGUGAGGAUUUGAGCUCAAGAAACUGGUGCCAAGACAUUGCUCUGACUGCUGCUUCUGCUAAGAAAUGCUGCAAUUCUACCAGACUAUCAAACUGCCAUGUGAAAAUCUAGGCACAGCACGGCAUUGGCAGAUUGUACAGCCCCUCCUCCAUCUCUCUCUGAACAAACCAAAACUGCUAGGUACAGGACCAGUCCCUUAGGCUAACAAUUUAUUAUCUAAUCCACCCAGUUGCCUUCAUGAGUCUACUCACAGGAGCCUUCAUAAGCAGAAAACGUUCUCCCACUGAAGACAGAAGAGGUGAGGAGGAGGAAAUGUCAGAGAGAUUCUGAGAACUUGAUCCACUUUGAAGAUGAUGGAAGAGGGUCACAAGCCAAGGAAUGUGGUUGGUCUUCAGAAGCUAAGAACAACCUCCAGCCAACAGCCAGCAUUGAAUUGGGGACCUCAGUUCCGUAAGCACAAUUCAAGGAACUGGAUUCUGUCAGCAGCCUCAAUGAACUUGGAAGCAGAAUCUUCUCCAUAGCCCCCAGUAAGCAACACAGAUCUGCUGACACCUUGAUUUUAGCUCAGUGAGAGCCAAGUCAAAUUUUACAUCAUACAAAACUGUGAUAUAAUAAGUGAAGGUUGUUUUAAACUAAUUUGUUACAGCAGCAAUAUAAAAU
Molecule: long non-coding RNA, 1365 nt
Filed under: Equus caballus (horse)
Lineage: Eukaryota; Metazoa; Chordata; Mammalia; Perissodactyla; Equidae
Description: lncRNA (ENSECAG00000048882.1)
Source: RNAcentral